GUUUGGUGUUCUCACCUGCUGUUUUUCUGUUCCAUCCAGUUGGCUCUCCGGCUUCUUGUGUUAUGUUUUGUUUCUAUUUGCCGUUCUCUCUCUGGAUUUCCCGGACAUUUGCAUCAGCAGUCAUCGGCCAGCCCAUUUCAGUCUCCUCACUGCCAAGGUAUCCAGGUUAACUUCCCAGCUGCAGCAGAUUAAGACUGAGGCUGCAGUGUCUCCCACUUUGCCACUGUUCCUUCCAUUACAGAACACGCCAUUUGUCAUCUAAAGCUGCAUCUACCAACAUUCAGGGCCGAAGAGGAAUUGGUAGGGGUAUGAGCUUGCCCACUGGAAGGUGAUGAGGCAUUGAUGACAUGGCACAGAUUGAGCAACUGUGGAUAUGAUGGUUGACAUCACGGGACAUACUGUGGCACCAGUACUGAACUUGGAGGGGCAAGAGGGUCCAUUGGCUGCCUGGAUGUCCAGAGCCGGUAUAUUAUGCACUGAGCCCAGCGGAGCAGGUUCGGCCUGAGUGGCAGCUCUGAUGUCUUUGUCGAUAUUCCAGAGGAUGGGACUCACUAUGGGGGCUGGAGAGAGAAUUGGUCCGUGAUUUGAUGGGUUGUCGAGAGAACGGAGGCAGGACAGGACAUCAGCCUUACAGUUUCUGUUUCCUGGGUGGUAGAGCAUUGUUUGCAGUCCCCCGUGUUAAUGCCUGGUCUCUCGUUCCUGUUCUCUGUGUUCUUCUUGUUGUUGGAUCAUCUUUGUCUUUGGAAUCCCAUCCACUCCUCACCUCCCACGGAUUGUACCUUUCACCCCUCGUCUCGUUCAUCUCAGUUCCUGUGUCACACUCUCCUGCUGCCAUUCCUAACCGCCACUUCUUGGAUCACCAUCUGACAUUGUUACUCCCUGGAUCGCCAUCAUACUUUGCCUCAUCCACCGGUUAUCCUGGUUUAUGUUACUUGUGUGUUUGACUGAGUUAUUAAAUAUCCAUUUACUUGCACUUGCUUCCUCACCAUCUUUCACCAUUACAGCUUGCCAAGGAUUGAGUCUCUUGGAAAGGUCCAGUUCUAGGGCCAGUUUUAUGGCCAUCAACUCCUUGUUACCGAAAUUUUAGUGUCUUGGAAUAAUAUGCGAAAGGCUGAAGGCAUGGAGGCUCA
Molecule: long non-coding RNA, 1130 nt
Organism: Carassius auratus (goldfish)
Lineage: Eukaryota; Metazoa; Chordata; Actinopteri; Cypriniformes; Cyprinidae
Exons: 4
Source: RefSeq, a predicted model, not a curated record